GUGGGGAAUAUUGGACAAUGGGCGCAAGCCUGAUCCAGCCAUGCCGCGUGAGUGAUGAAGGCCCUAGGGUUGUAAAGCUCUUUCACCGGAGAAGAUAAUGACGGUAUCCGGAGAAGAAGCCCCGACUAACUUCGUGCCAGCAGCCGCGGUAAUACGAAGGGGGCUAGCGUUGUUCGGAAUUACUGGGCGUAAAGCGCACGUAGGCGGACAUUUAAGUCAGGGGUGAAAUCCCGGAGCUCAACUCCGGAACUGCCUUUGAUACUGGGUGUCUGGAGUAUGGAAGAGGUGAGUGGAAUUCCGAGUGUAGAGGUGAAAUUCGUAGAUAUUCGGAGGAACACCAGUGGCGAAGGCGGCUCACUGGUCCAUUACUGACGCUGAGGUGCGAAAGCGUGGGGAGCAAACAGGAUUAGAUACCCGAGUAGUCC
This 425-nucleotide ribosomal RNA is filed under the name uncultured bacterium. RNAcentral's name for it is "partial 16S ribosomal RNA". It matches the Rfam family "Bacterial small subunit ribosomal RNA", at positions 354 to 796 of the family's 1533-position model. The record is from RNAcentral.